This 484-nucleotide ribosomal RNA is filed under the name uncultured bacterium. Its description in RNAcentral is "partial 16S ribosomal RNA". It matches the Rfam family "Bacterial small subunit ribosomal RNA", at positions 28 to 507 of the family's 1533-position model. The record is from RNAcentral.
AUUGAACGCUGGCGGAAUGCUUUACGCAUGCAAGUCGAACGGCAGCACGGGGGCAGCCCUGGUGGCGCGUGGCGCACGGGUGAGUAAUACAUCGGAACGUGCCCGGUCGUGGGGGAUAACGUAGCGAAAGUUACGCUAAUACCGCAUACGAUCUGAGGCUGAAAGCGGGGGACCUUCGGGCCUCGCGCGCUCGGAGCGGCCGAUGUCAGAUUAGGUAGUUGGUGGGGUAAAGGCCUACCAAGCCGACGAUCUGUAGCUGGUCUGAGAGGAGGACCAGCCGCACGGGAACGGGGACACGGCCCAGACGCCUGCGGGAGGCAGCAGUGGGGAAUGUUGGGCAAUGGGCGCAAGCCUGAUCCAGCGAUUCCGCGUGCAGGACGAAGGCCUUGGGGUUGUAAACUGCUUUUGUACGGAACGAAAAGGCUCUGGCUAAUACCUGGGGCUCAUGACGGUACCGGAAGAAUAAGCACCGGCUAACUACGUG